UACGUAGGUGGCAAGCGUUGUCCGGAAUUAUUGGGCGUAAAGCGCGCGCAGGCGGUCCCUUAAGUCUGAUGUGAAAGCCCACGGCUCAACCGUGGAGGGUCAUUGGAAACUGGGAGGCUUGAGUAUAGGAGAGAAGAGUGGAAUUCCACGUGUAGCGGUGAAAUGCGUAGAGAUGUGGAGGAACACCAGUGGCGAAGGCGACUUUCUGGUCUGUAACUGACGCUGAGGCGCGAAAGCGUGGGGAGCAAACAGG
This 253-nucleotide unclassified non-coding RNA is filed under the name uncultured Caryophanaceae bacterium. RNAcentral's name for it is "uncultured Planococcaceae bacterium contains 16S-23S intergenic spacer region". It matches the Rfam family "Bacterial small subunit ribosomal RNA", at positions 524 to 776 of the family's 1533-position model. The record is from RNAcentral. Lineage: Bacteria; Bacillati; Bacillota; Bacilli; Caryophanales; Caryophanaceae.